UACGGAGGGUGCAAGCGUUAUCCGGAUUCACUGGGUUUAAAGGGUGCAUAGGCGGGCAGGUAAGUCCGUGGUGAAAUCUCUGAGCUUAACUCAGAAACUGCCAUGGAUACUAUUUGUCUUGAAUAUUGUGGAGGUGAGCGGAAUAUGUCAUGUAGCGGUGAAAUGCUUAGAUAUGACAUAGAACACCAAUUGCGAAGGCAGCUCACUACACAAUUAUUGACGCUGAGGCACGAAAGCGUGGGGAUCAAACAGG
This 253-nucleotide ribosomal RNA is filed under the name uncultured bacterium. Its description in RNAcentral is "partial 16S ribosomal RNA". It matches the Rfam family "Bacterial small subunit ribosomal RNA", at positions 524 to 776 of the family's 1533-position model. The record is from RNAcentral.